AAACACGGAAAGAAGGCCAACGGGAAGAAGGUGGCUCUAGACCCUGCUGUCUUGAAGAAGCAGGAGGCCAGGAAAGGGGUGAAUCCCCUGUUAGAGAAAAGGCCUAAAAAUUUUGCCAUUGGACAGGAUAUUCAGCUCAAAAGGGACCUCACCUGCUUUGUCAAAUGGCCCCACUAUAUCAGGUUGCCGUGUCAAAGAGCUAUCCACUAUAAGUAGCUGAAAGUGCCUCCUGCAAUUAACCAGUUUACCCAGGCCUUGGACCUCCAAAACAGCCACUCAGCUGCUUAAGCUGGCCCACAAGUACAGACCAGAGACAUGGAAAGAACAGAAGAAGAGACUAUUGGCCCAUGCUGAGACGAAAGCUACUGGCAAAGGGGACAUCCCCACCAAGAGACCACUUGUCCUUCUAGAAGGAGUUACCACCAUCAUCACUUUGGUGGAGAAGAAGAAGGCUCAGCUGGUGGAGAACAAGAAGGCUCAACUGGUAGUGACUGCACAUGACGUGGAUCUCAUGGAGUUGGUUGUCUACCCGUCUGCCCCGUCUCAUAAAAUGGGGGUCCCUUACUGCAUUAUUAAGGGGAAGGCAAGACUGGGAUAUUUAUGAAGACCUGUACCACUGUUGCCUUCACAUAGGUUAGCUCAGAAGACAAAAGAGCUUUGGCUAAGCUGGUGGAAGCUAUUAGGACUAAUUACAAUGACACAUAUGAUGAGAUCUGUUGUCACUGGGGAGGUAUUGUCCUGGGUCCCAUAUCUGUGGCUCACAUAGCCAAGCUGGAAAGGCAAAGGCUAAAGAAGUCGCCACUAA
Molecule: long non-coding RNA, 805 nt
Filed under: Homo sapiens (human)
Lineage: Eukaryota; Metazoa; Chordata; Mammalia; Primates; Hominidae
Description: non-protein coding lnc-DNAJC19-9:1
Source: RNAcentral